AUGUACCCACGUACACUCCGGUUCCUCCGCGCCGUCCGCACCCACCUGACAACUGCUCGCUACGUUUUGUUAGCC
This 75-nucleotide small RNA is filed under the name Xanthomonas campestris pv. incanae. RNAcentral describes it as "sX9 sRNA". It matches the Rfam family "Xanthomonas sRNA sX9". The record is from RNAcentral. Lineage: Bacteria; Pseudomonadati; Pseudomonadota; Gammaproteobacteria; Lysobacterales; Lysobacteraceae. RNAcentral also lists the same sequence under 1 other name.